RNAcentral lists this ribosomal RNA (1191 nucleotides) under Triticum aestivum (bread wheat). Its description in RNAcentral is "partial small subunit ribosomal RNA". The record is from RNAcentral. Lineage: Eukaryota; Viridiplantae; Streptophyta; Magnoliopsida; Poales; Poaceae.
AUGCUAGAAGUACUCCUUCUCUUCAACAAUUCAUUUUCUGGAAGUAUUCCCUGCUCCGUGCUUCAGUCACAACGAUUGGUAUUUCUAGACCUAUCAAAAAACCUGCUAAACGGGAUAUUGCCCAAUUGCCCUCGCGGGUUCAAAAACUCAAAUAUUAACUUGCUUAAUUUGAACAGUAACAAUCUUUCAGGAGCAUUCCCAUUGUUUCUUCAGAAAUGCAGAUACCUAAAAUUUCUGAAUCUGGCAUACAAUAAAUUUUCUGGAAGCUUACCAACAUGGAUUGAGUCAAAGUUACCACAACUGGCACUUUUGAGUCUGCGCGCAAAUGUGUUCUCUGGUGGCAUCCCUGAUCAACUAACCAGGAUGAAGGAGCUUCAAUAUUUAGACAUUGCAUGCAACAACUUCUCAGGGAACAUACCGCGGUCACUUGGGAAUCUCGUAGCUAUGACCUCUACUUUCAAUUAUAGUGGUGGCCUUUUCGACCUUGUUGAUUAUGGAUUUGGCUUAGUGGAUUCCAUUUAUGCUCAUCUUGAUAGUUUCUUUGUCAACGUAAAAGGUCAAAAACUUGAUUAUACCAAAGGGAUCGCAUACAUGGUGAACAUAGAUUUUUCUUGCAACAGUUUGACAGGACAGAUUCCUCAAGAAAUUGGCAGGCUCAUUGCAUUAAAGAACUUAAACUUCUCUUGGAAUAGCCUGACUGACAUAAUACCCCAAAGUAUCGGUGAGCUACGGGCACUGGAAUCAUUUGACCUCUCACAUAAUGAGCUCUCCGGUGAAAUCCCUACAAGUUUAUCAGCUCUAACAUCACUAAGUCGAUUGAACCUGUCAUAUAAUGAUCUGACAGGAACUAUACCAUAUGGGAACCAAUUAAGAACACUAGAUGACCAAGCGUCCAUCUACAUUGGCAACCCUAGUUUAUGUGGUCCACCUCUCCCAAGGAAUUGCUCACGAACUGACAUACUUCCGUAUGCUCCUCAAGAGCAUGACGAAGGAAUGAGUGAUGUAGUUUUGUUAUACCUCAGCAUGUGCAUAGGAUUUGUAGUAGGUCUCUGGGUUGUCUUUUGUGGCUUCUUAUUGAAGAGGAAAUGGAGGGUUGGUUGGUUCUUAUUUACAGACCACGUGUAUGAUCGAGCUUACGUGCAAGUAGCUGUAGGGUGGGCUUCAUUGGCAAGAAAAAUCCGUCAAGGAUGA